Molecule: ribosomal RNA, 305 nt
Filed under: uncultured bacterium
Lineage: Bacteria
Description: bacterial SSU rRNA
Rfam family: Bacterial small subunit ribosomal RNA
Source: RNAcentral
GGUGCCUAGGGGCGCAGCAGUGAGGAAUAUUGGUCAAUGGUCGGGAGACUGAACCAGCCAAGCCGCGUGAGGGAGGAAGGUACAGAGUAUCGUAAACCUCUUUUGUCAGGGAACAAAGGCGGGGACGUGUCCCCGGAUGAGUGUACCUGAAGAAAAAGCAUCGGCUAACUCCGUGCCAGCAGCCGCGGUAAUACGGAGGAUGCGAGCGUUAUCCGGAUUUAUUGGGUUUAAAGGGUGCGCAGGCGGUCUGUUAAGUCAGCGGUCAAAACCCGGGGCUCAACCCCGGCCCGCCGUUGAAACUGGCG